CAGGAACCACAGAUGGAAAUGAUUCAGCAGAGAAACAAGGAGGUCCCAGUGACUCAUCUGACAGCACUGAAAAACCAGAGGUUGACGGUGCGCCCGACACAUCAGACACAAACAGUGACAAAAGCCUGGAUGAAGCCACCAGCGGCCCAGAUUCGAUAGACACAACAGAUACUGAUAGUGACACAGAAAAAGACACAGACACAGAUACUAAUACAGAAACAGAUGCAUCACAGCAGAAGACAGGCGAUUCAGAUGAGAACAACGAGAAACCAUCAGCGGAGGACAGCAAAGAUGCAGAUCAUGUUGAUACACAUUCAAAAGAAGAGGAAUCUACAGGUAAACAAACACACUUACUGAAAAAAAGACACA
This is a long non-coding RNA of Sinocyclocheilus grahami, 369 nucleotides long. RefSeq lists it as uncharacterized. The transcript is spliced from 7 exons. The record is from RefSeq and is a predicted model, not a curated record. Lineage: Eukaryota; Metazoa; Chordata; Actinopteri; Cypriniformes; Cyprinidae.